RNAcentral lists this ribosomal RNA (497 nucleotides) under uncultured bacterium. RNAcentral's name for it is "partial 16S ribosomal RNA". It matches the Rfam family "Bacterial small subunit ribosomal RNA", at positions 28 to 507 of the family's 1533-position model. The record is from RNAcentral.
GAUGAACGCUGGCGGCGUGCCUAAUACAUGCAAGUCGAGCGAACAGAUGAGGACCUUUCUCCUCUGACGUCAUCGCCGGUCGGGUCAGUAACACGUGGAUAACCUACCUAUAAGACUGGGAUAACUUCGCGAAACCGGAUCUUAUACCGGAUAAUAUAUUGAACUGCAUGGUUCAAUCGUUAAAGACGGUUUUUCGGUCACUUAUAGAUGGACACGCGCCGCAUUAGCUAGUGGGUAAGGUAACGGAUUACCAACGCUACGAUGCGUAGCCGACCCGAAAGGGUGGUUGGCCACCCUGGAAGUGAGAAACGGCACACACUCCUACGGGAGGCAGCAGUCGGGAAUCUUACGCGAUGCGCGAAAGGCUAACAGAGCACCACCGCCUGAGUGAUGAAGGUGUUCGGAUGGUAAAGUUCUGUUAUUAGUGAAGAACAAAUGUGUAAGUAACCAUGAACGUAUUGACGGUACCUAAACAGAAAGCCCCGGCUAACUACGUG